GGGGAAUAUUGGACAAUGGGCGAAAGCCUGAUCCAGCAAUGCCGCGUGAGUGAUGAAGGCCUUAGGGUUGUAAAGCUCUUUUACCCGGGAUGAUAAUGACAGUACCGGGAGAAUAAGCCCCGGCUAACUUCGUGCCAGCAGCCGCGGUAAUACGAAGGGGGCUAGCGUUGCUCGGAAUCACUGGGCGUAAAGGGUGCGUAGGCGGGUCUUUAAGUCAGGGGUGAAAUCCUGGAGCUCAACUCCAGAACUGCCUUUGAUACUGAAGAUCUUGAGUUCGGGAGAGGUGAGUGGAACUGCGAGUGUAGAGGUGAAAUUCGUAGAUAUUCGGAAGAACACCAGUGGCGAAGGCGACUUACUGGACGACUGUUGACGCUGAGGUGCGAAAGCGUGGGGAGCAAA
This 399-nucleotide ribosomal RNA is filed under the name uncultured bacterium. Its description in RNAcentral is "bacterial SSU rRNA". It matches the Rfam family "Bacterial small subunit ribosomal RNA", at positions 356 to 772 of the family's 1533-position model. The record is from RNAcentral.